RNAcentral lists this ribosomal RNA (306 nucleotides) under Triticum aestivum (bread wheat). RNAcentral describes it as "partial small subunit ribosomal RNA". The record is from RNAcentral. Lineage: Eukaryota; Viridiplantae; Streptophyta; Magnoliopsida; Poales; Poaceae.
AUGUUAAACAAAAUUAAUUAUCCCCUUGUACAAUUCCAUUGUAUUAUAAAAAUAAUGUGCCAAGGUUUGCCUUUAGGAUGUUUAAAUUGCUUGUUGGUUUGUGCGGUGCAAAACAGAAAUUUUGGCUGUAGUGCUCGAUUUUAUAUUUUUUUACUGGAACGUCAAAUGGUUCUGAAACUUCUUGCACUGUCUUUCUAUACAAAAGUUUUAUUUUUCCUAAUUUUUUUAGAAUUUUUUGAGUUACAGAAGUAUGGUGGAUGUUCAAAUCUUUACAGACUGUCCUAUUUUCACAGAUUACUGUUAUAG